Molecule: transfer RNA, 88 nt
Filed under: Planctomycetota bacterium
Lineage: Bacteria; Pseudomonadati; Planctomycetota
Description: tRNA-Leu
Rfam family: tRNA
About the family: Transfer RNA (tRNA) molecules are approximately 80 nucleotides in length.
Source: RNAcentral
GCGCGAGUGGCGGAACUGGCAGACGCACUAGAUUCAGGUUCUAGCGCCCCUUAAAGGCGUGGAGGUUCGAGUCCUCUCUCGCGCACCA